GUCUAUGGCCAUACCACCCUGAACGCACCCAAUCUCAUCUGAUCUCGGAAGCUAAACAGGGUCUGGCCUGGUUAGUACUUGGUGAGAGAGAAUUGAGUUUCAUCUUUC
Cercocebus atys (sooty mangabey) is the source of this 108-nucleotide ribosomal RNA. The record is from Ensembl. NCBI's taxonomy places the organism in Eukaryota, Metazoa, Chordata, Mammalia, Primates, Cercopithecidae.